This 299-nucleotide ribosomal RNA is filed under the name uncultured bacterium. Its description in RNAcentral is "partial 16S ribosomal RNA". It matches the Rfam family "Bacterial small subunit ribosomal RNA", at positions 29 to 316 of the family's 1533-position model. The record is from RNAcentral.
AACGAACGCUGGCGGCGUGGAUAAGACAUGCAAGUCGAACGGGACAUUAUUUGUAGCAAUACAAAUGAUGUUCAGUGGCGCAAGGGUGUGUAACACGUGGGCAAUCUACCGGAAAGUGGGGAAUAGCUCGCCGAAAGGCGAAUUAAUACCGCAUAUGGCCAGGGAAGACCUCUUCCCGCAGCCAAAGCUGGGGCAACCUAGCGCUUACCGAUGAGCCCGCGGCCUANCAGCUAGUUGGCGGGGUAACGGCCACCAAGCGAUGACGGUAGCUGGUCUGAGAGGACGACCAGUCACACUGG